This is a long non-coding RNA of Dermacentor albipictus, 584 nucleotides long. RefSeq lists it as uncharacterized. Lineage: Eukaryota; Metazoa; Arthropoda; Arachnida; Ixodida; Ixodidae. The record is from RefSeq and is a predicted model, not a curated record.
CAACAACAACUUGGUCAUGGCUGACAUUCGGAUCAAUUUCACGGCCGGUUUCUCGGGGCUAAGCUCUGGGCGUGGAGCCAACAUUGGAAUGGAAGCAGCAACCGCACGGCCGCCUUCUGGCGCAGGUUGGGGCGCCAUGGGAUUUGCCUGGCGCCAGGAGCUUCCCAACGGAGGCGCCUUGGAAGCUGGAGCGGUCUGCUUGCGUGAGGCAAAGCCACAGAAGGAGGAGCUCCCUACCAUCUACGGGGACGUCGGCCAUAGGGAGCGUGGCAAAUCAGCGAGAAGCACCACCGGCCGAACAGACCAGUGCAACCAAGAAGGCCACAUGAGCCGAGACUGCCCAACUGCUCACUGUGGAGGACGACGCGGAGGCCUCAGGUGUGGCGAGGAAGGCCACAUGAGCAGAGCUUGAAUGCAGACACGUGGGCCCGACACAGCGAGAUGUGGGUCGCUACGCUUCGCGUACUGCCAGAUUAUGGGUUUUGUGUGUAUUUUUUGGUUUAUUAGAUCGUUAAAUAUAAAGAAAUCUUAAAAUUUCUACUUUUUUGAUAAUUAGAAUAAUAAAUAUAUUGUUCCGCCUUCUA